RNAcentral lists this ribosomal RNA (253 nucleotides) under uncultured bacterium. RNAcentral's name for it is "partial 16S ribosomal RNA". It matches the Rfam family "Bacterial small subunit ribosomal RNA", at positions 524 to 776 of the family's 1533-position model. The record is from RNAcentral.
UACGGAGGAUGCGAGCGUUAUCCGGAUUCACUGGGUUUAAAGGGUGAGUAGGCGGGUUAGUAAGUCAGUGGUGAAAUACUGUCGCUUAACGACAGGGGUGCCAUUGAUACUGCUGAUCUUGAGUUCAGUUGAGGCAGGCGGAAUGUGCAGUGUAGCGGUGAAAUGCUUAGAUAUUGCACAGAACACCGAUUGCGGAGGCAGCUUGCUAAGCUGAAACUGACGCUGAGUCACGAAAGCGUGGGGAUCAAACAGG